RNAcentral lists this ribosomal RNA (302 nucleotides) under uncultured bacterium. RNAcentral describes it as "bacterial SSU rRNA". It matches the Rfam family "Bacterial small subunit ribosomal RNA", at positions 335 to 619 of the family's 1533-position model. The record is from RNAcentral.
ACUCCUACGGGAGGCAGCAGUGGGGAAUAUUGCACAAUGGGCGCAAGCCUGAUGCAGCCAUGCCGCGUGUGUGAAGAAGGCCUUCGGGUUGUAAAGCACUUUCAGUUGUGAGGAAAGGUUGAGUCGCUAUCUAAUCGGCUGACGCUCAGUUUGACGUUAGCAACAGAAGAAGCACCGGCUAACUCCGUGCCAGCAGCCGCGGUAAUACGGAGGGUGCGAGCGUUAAUCGGAAUUACUGGGCGUAAAGCGCGUGUAGGUGGCUUGUUAAGCCAGAUGUGAAAGCCCCGGGGCUCAACCUGGAG